RNAcentral lists this ribosomal RNA (253 nucleotides) under uncultured bacterium. RNAcentral describes it as "partial 16S ribosomal RNA". It matches the Rfam family "Bacterial small subunit ribosomal RNA", at positions 524 to 776 of the family's 1533-position model. The record is from RNAcentral.
UACGUAGGGAGCAAGCGUUGUCCGGAAUUAUUGGGCGUAAAGGGUGCGUAGGCGGUUUACCAAGUCAGAUGUGAAAUCCCCGGGCUUAACUCGGGACGUGCAUUUGAAACUGGUAGACUUGAGUAAAGAAGAGGUAAGUGGAAUUCCUAGUGUAGCGGUGAAAUGCGUAGAUAUUAGGAGGAACACCAGUGGCGAAGGCGACUUACUGGUCUUUUACUGACGCUGAGGCACGAAAGCGUGGGGAGCAAACAGG